UGUCCCUACGGGGGGCAGCAGUGAGGAAUAUUGGUCAAUGGCCGAGAGGCUGAACCAGCCAAGUCGCGUGGGGGAAGACGGUCCUAUGGAUUGUAAACCUCUUUUGUCGGGGAGCAAAAGACGCCACGCGUGGCGUUCCGAGAGUACCCGAAGAAAAAGCAUCGGCUAACUCCGUGCCAGCAGCCGCGGUAAUACGGAGGAUGCGAGCGUUAUCCGGAUUUAUUGGGUUUAAAGGGUGCGCAGGCGGAAGAUCAAGUCAGCGGUAAAAUUGAGAGGCUCGACCUCUUCGAGCCGUUGAAACUGGU
This 305-nucleotide ribosomal RNA is filed under the name uncultured bacterium. Its description in RNAcentral is "bacterial SSU rRNA". It matches the Rfam family "Bacterial small subunit ribosomal RNA", at positions 334 to 637 of the family's 1533-position model. The record is from RNAcentral.